CCUGCUUCCUCAGCUACAUGCUGAUAAAAUGAGUUUCACCUGAAGAGUGUGGAGGCUGAGAUGCAGCAGACAGAUCUGGGAUGUGACCUGACAGGCAAAGGCACAGCAUGUUCCAGACUGCCACGGUGUUGCACCUCAGCGCUUGAGCUUACCUUCCCAAAGCUCAAGCACUCCAAGAAGCUCACCCAGCAGUGUGAACAAAUUGCCUGGAAAUGUCGUCAUCGGGCUUCAUCUGGCACUAUCUCCCUUUUUGUCUGGGUCAUUGAUUUCCUCUUCUCCUUUGCCUUAAAACCCACAUCAUACAUCAAUUUCUGAGUCUCCAGUACUAAGGCAGCUGCACUGUGCCUUCCCUACUCGACACCAGCAGCUUUCAGCCUCUGAAGCAUCCUUUACUGGUGCUCAUCUGAAGACCUCCUGAAUGUGUCUCAAGUGGCCUCCCUGCCUGCCACAUAACAGCCUGUGCUCUGCCAGCUUUUGUUUCAUCACAAGAGGGCUUAGAGCUGUUCUGCUCUCGGAAAUUGGGUAAAAUUUGGUCUCCUUCCUACAAUGACUCAGUGUGCUGGAGAAAUGACUCUUGCCUUGUGCAAGCAGCUAUGGCAGGGCACAGAGCUGUGCCAGCCUCUGCUAGCCACCAGCUCCCCUUGGGACAGCCCCUCAGCCAGCAAGGAGCUGGGGCUGCUCCGCACACACGUCUUACAAUUGCUAAGUAUAGAGUCCAUUGAUAUAUAAAACAAACGCGCGAAGAGUGCAAGAACCAGCAGAUGUUACAAUGUCGUCUUAGCUAACGGCUUUUUCCUGUUCUUUUGCUCUCAUCUUUGUGGCCCGUCAACACAGUCAUUUGCAAUUUGAGUAUGAAUCUUUGCACACCCAACUAAUAAUAUCAGUUCUCAUUGAAAGAGUUUCCAGGAUUAGGCUUGCAAUGUGCCAUUCAACCUUGAGAAAUGAUUCUGCAAGAUAAAAAAUCUUGUCUUGCUACUCGCUAGGGCUGUGGUCGCUCUGCACUCGUACUGAUCGGAGCUUACUCCCAGUCCUGGUCUGCUGCUGUCAUUCAAUGGCCAGGUACCACACUGCUCCUGUGUCAGACUUGUUUGCUGAGCUACAAACAGUUGCCUACUGUAGGUUUGCACAGCUAUUCCCAAGGAUCCAGUCUGCCCUGCAGAAACUUACUUGAGUUCUGUUAGGAGUAAUAAGGUUCCAC
Molecule: long non-coding RNA, 1198 nt
Filed under: Numida meleagris (helmeted guineafowl)
Lineage: Eukaryota; Metazoa; Chordata; Aves; Galliformes; Numididae
Description: lncRNA (ENSNMEG00000022974.1)
Source: RNAcentral